This 2718-nucleotide long non-coding RNA is filed under the name Homo sapiens (human). RNAcentral describes it as "HSALNT0276575". Lineage: Eukaryota; Metazoa; Chordata; Mammalia; Primates; Hominidae. The record is from RNAcentral.
CUUCCUUCCUUCCUUCCUUCCUUCUUUCCUUUCUUCUUUUCUUUUCUUCUCUCCCUCCCUUCCCCUCUCUCUUCCCUUCCCUUCCUUCUCUCUCCCCUUCCCUUCCCUCUCUCUCCCCUUCCCUCUCCCUCUCCCUCUCCCUUCCCUUCCCUUUCUUUCUUGACAGGGUCUCACUCCAUCACCCAGGCUGGAAUGCAGUGGCUCAAUCAACACACCACAGCCUCGGCCUCCCUGGGCUCAGAAAGUCACAAAUCACUACAUAAGGACCUGCUGUAACCAGUCUGACCUCAUCUUGAUUACAGCUGCAAAGACCCUAUUUCCAAAUAGAGCCACAUUCUGAGGAUCCAGGGUGACAAAUUUUGGGAGGAUAAUAUUCCAUCUGGCACAGAAGGGAAAAGGGAAGUUUUUGUCUGAAGAAGGGGCUUGUCUGGAGGUGAGAGGGGCUUCAAAAUCUGUGCAUGCCCCUUUGUGGGUACUUCCUUAAGAUAGCAAAGCUCACGGCAGCUUCUGUUCUUUCCAACAAAUAGGCCUCUAUGGGGCCCAUAUAAGAAUGAAGGCAUUUCCUCUAACCCAGCAACUCUACUCCUAGGAAUAUCCCCAUUAGAAAUAUGUCCUUAUGGCCAUUGGAAGACAUAUACUAGAAUGUUCUCAGCAGAAUUAUUUCUCUUGGCUGAAAACUGGAAAUGCUUAUCUUGGCAGAUUGCAAAAAUAGUCACAGUUCUGUGCAGCCCAUCCCAUUAGGAGGCAGAGUCUACUUCUUCUCCCUUGAAUCUACGUUGGUCACGUGAUUUGCUGUGGCCAAUAGAAUGUGGUGGAAGCAACAUGUGCCAGUACCAAGCCUAGGUUUUAAGAGGCCUUUUGCUCUCUUGGAACUUGCAGUUGCUGUGUGAAAAGUCCAGGCUAGCCUGCUGGAGGAUGAGUGAUGGGUGAAGCAGAGAUGAAUUUUCAGAGCUGGCUUCAUCUGAGACCAGCCAGCCCUAGCUGUGGAAGGCAGACACUUAGCAAACCCAGCCAAGAUCAGCCAAGCCCAUCCCAGGGCAGAAGAACCACCAAGCUGAUCCCAGUCCACAUCUACUUCUGGAAGCACGUGCUAAAUAAAUGGUUGCUGUUUUAAGCCACUGAGCUAUGGGAGGCUUUGUUUCCCAGCAAUAACUAAUUGAUAAAUCAUCAACAGUAAAAUGGAUAAAUGAAUUGUGGUACAGGCACACGUGGAAUGAAAAACAUUAAGGAGAAUAAAUAAACUACUGCUACACAAGACAACAUGGAUGAACCUCACCAAUACUAAGCCGGGUGAAGGAAGCUCAGCAGGCAGAGUGCAUCCUACAAGAUGCCUUUUAUAGAAAAAGUACAAGAAUAGGUGAGAGUAAUCUAUGGAGAGAUAAGUUAGGGUAGUGGUUACCUUUGAGGGGGGACUAAAUAGGAGGGGGUUAGCUACUGGGGUGUGUUCACUUGGUGACCAUUUGUUGGGCUGUAUACUUAACAUAUGUGCAUUUUUGUGCAUGUAGUUUAUACUUUGGUAAAAAGAUUUAAAAAUAUCAGGUCUCUUGUUUCUUUUCUAGUUGCUGGAGAGCCAGUGGGAUUGCAUCUUUUGCAGAGGACAGGUCCUUAAGGGCAAAAUCGCUUAAGAGUCAAAAUGGCCUUGAAAAUUCCUUGGGAAGCCGUCAUGUUGGAGCCAACCACUAUUUCUCAAUAAUUUCAGCACAGCCAGUUUUUCCUCCUGCGUUGGGACGGAUCGCUGUUUCUCCUGUCAAGCUCCAGAUACAGUAAAGUCUUGUGUUUAGGGGCCACACAGUGGAGUGGGACACUCACAGGCAGAGGGAGGAACCAGGUGCUCCUACUCAGAGACACGUGGGACCCAACGGGAGGGUUUGGCUUGGAAGAGACACCUUCAAAGUGAGUGGUGUGGGGAUUUCCCCAUCAUAUAAUGUCCCCUUUGGGGUGUGAGGGGCAAAUGUGUUUAGUUAAGUGGAUCUUAACUCAGUUAAAUUAAAUUCAUGUAUGAUGUGAGACCAGCGUGGAAAGGUCUUACCUCUUGAUUAACCAAUUGUUCUUCCCCAGUCACUCCAUUGCUCCUCUUUGAGCCAUCCAAAAAGUCACCUCAUCUUUCCAGACCUCAGGGUCCUCAUCUGUAAAUUGGGGGGCAUGUGGACUUGGACAGAAUGGGCCCUCUCUGUCACUUGGAGAGUCUGGGAUUGUAAGCUGCCCUCCGGGAGAUCAAAACACCACACGAUGCAGGUGGUAAGGGCUGCCAUCAACUCUCGGGGUGACCCAGGUCAAUGGUCCCUUCUCUGGCUGCCCUCCCCAUCUGUGCAAUGGGGGUUUUGUCCCAUGGUUCUCUUUUUGCAGGCACUGGACAGACGCGGGACACAGGGGCUCUGCUAAGGUCCCUGGUGCUACAGAAGAGGACGGUGAUCACCAGGCCCAGGAAGGAGGGUUGCUGGGAAUGAAGAUCGCAGCCACGCUGCACGAUGCAAGGCUAAGGUGCACGCAGUGCGCUGUGGCUUCAGGUCCCGAAAGCACAGGCCUGGGACAGCUUUUCCAGAUGGCAAGUCUGCUUUCUCCCAGCCCCAACAUGCCUUUCUGAAAUGUAAAGCAGCCCAGUCCUGGCCUCAGAAUGCUGGGGUGAACAACUGGAGAACGGGGUUCCAGCCACUGCAGAUGAAUCCAGAGGCACUAGAAACACAGAGAGAGCAAGAAGGAAAGGGAGGGGACACGAGG